GACGUAGGGCGCGAGCGUUGUCCAGAUUUAUUGGGCGUAAAGCGCUCGUAGGCGGCUUGUCGCGUCGUCCGUGAAAACCUGCGGCUCAACUGCAGGCUGGCGGUCGAUACGGGCAGGCUGGAGUUCGGUAGGGGAGACUGGAAUUCCUGGUGUAGCGGUGAAAUGCGCAGAUAUCAGGAGGAACACCGAUGGCGAAGGCAGGUCUCUGGGCCACUACUGACGCUGAGAAGCGAAAGCAUGGGGAGCGAACAGG
RNAcentral lists this ribosomal RNA (253 nucleotides) under uncultured bacterium. RNAcentral's name for it is "partial 16S ribosomal RNA". It matches the Rfam family "Bacterial small subunit ribosomal RNA", at positions 524 to 776 of the family's 1533-position model. The record is from RNAcentral.